This 253-nucleotide ribosomal RNA is filed under the name uncultured bacterium. Its description in RNAcentral is "partial 16S ribosomal RNA". It matches the Rfam family "Bacterial small subunit ribosomal RNA", at positions 524 to 776 of the family's 1533-position model. The record is from RNAcentral.
UACAGAGGGGGCAAGCGUUGUUCGGAAUUACUGGGCGUAAAGGGCGCGUAGGCGGCCCGCUAAGUCGAACGUGAAAUCCCCAGGCUUAACCUGGGAACUGCGUCCGAUACUGGCAGGCUUGAAUCCGGGAGAGGGAUGUGGAAUUCCAGGUGUAGCGGUGAAAUGCGUAGAUAUCUGGAGGAACACCGGUGGCGAAGGCGGCAUCCUGGACCGGCAUUGACGCUGAGGCGCGAAAGCUAGGGGAGCGAACAGG